This 189-nucleotide microRNA precursor is filed under the name Oryza brachyantha (malo sina). RNAcentral's name for it is "MIR812 microRNA precursor family". It matches the Rfam family "MIR812 microRNA precursor family". Lineage: Eukaryota; Viridiplantae; Streptophyta; Magnoliopsida; Poales; Poaceae. The record is from Rfam by way of RNAcentral.
UAUAAGAUCAUUUUCAGUUUUUUAUAUAAUGUUUUGACUCGUUGGCUUAUUUGAAAUGUUUUUACGAUUAAUAUUUUUAUUCUUACUAGAUGAUAAAACAUGAAUAGUAUUUUAUAUGUGACUAAUUUUUUUAAAUUUUUAUAUAAAUUUUUUAAAUAAAAUAAAUGGUUAAACGUUGGGCACGAAAAA